AACGUAGGACGCGAACGUUAUCCGGAAUUACUGGGCGUAAAGGGCGCGCAGGCGGUUGGGUAAGUUAGGCAUGAAAGCUCCCUGGCUAAACCGGGAGAGGAUGUCUGAAACUGCCUGGCUAGAGUGAGGUAGAGGGGUGUAGAAUUCCGCGUGUAGUGGUGAAAUGCGUAGAUAUGCGGAGGAAUACCAGUGGCGAAGGCGGCACCCUGGACCUCAACUGACGCUGAGGCGCGAAAGCAUGGGUAGCGAACGGG
Molecule: unclassified non-coding RNA, 254 nt
Filed under: uncultured bacterium
Lineage: Bacteria
Description: contains 16S-23S intergenic spacer region
Rfam family: Bacterial small subunit ribosomal RNA
Source: RNAcentral